AGAGUUUGAUCCUGGCUCAAGAUGAACGCUGGCGGCAUGCCUAAUACAUGCAAGUCGAACGAGAGGAAGGAAAGCUUGCUUUUCUGAAUCUAGUGGCGAACGGGUGAGUAACACGUAGGUAACCUGCCCAUGUGUCCGGGAUAACUUCUGGAAACGGAUGCUAAAACCGGAUAGGUAGCAGACAAGCAUUUGACUGCUAUUAAAGUGGCUUUGGCCAUGAACAUGGAUGGACCUGCGGUGCAUUAGCUGGUUGGUGAGGUAACGGCCCACCAAGGCGACGAUGCAUAGCCGGCCUGAGAGGGCGGACGGCCACAUUGGGACUGAGACACGGCCCAAACUCCUACGGGAGGCAGCAGUAGGGAAUUUUCGUCAAUGGGGGGAACCCUGAACGAGCAAUGCCGCGUGAGUGAGGAAGGUCUUCGGAUCGUAAAGCUCUGUUGUAAGAGAAAAACGGCACUCAUUAGGGAAUGAUGAGUGAGUGAUGGUAUCUUACCAGAAAGUCACGGUUUAACUACGUGCCACCAGCCGCGGUUUUUCGUUGGUGGCGCGCGUUCUCCGGUUUGUUUGGGCGUCAUGGGUGCGUUGGUGGCCGCUCGGCUCUGGUGUUUUGGGUGUGGGCUCGCCCCGUUCUGGCUCUGGCUUCUGCUCUGCUUGUGCCCUGCUGCGGCCGGCGGUUCUCCCUGUGUNGCGGUNUUNUGCGUNGUUCUCUGGAACUUCUCCUCUUCUUUUUUCUUCCCUCUUCUCUUUUUUCUUUCUCUUUUUCNCUNNNUCNUNNNCCCCUAAAAGGNUUNNNUNNNNUNNUNNUNCANNCNNUNNCCCCCCAUGGAAGGUGUUGGGGGAAUAACUCAGUGCCGCAGUUAACGCAGUAAGUUCUCCGCCAGGGGAGUACGCACGCAAGUGUGAAACUCAAAGGAAUUGACGGGGGCCCGCACAAGCGGUGGAGAUAUGUGGUUUAAUUCGAAGCAACGCGAAGAACCUUACCAGGCCUUGACAUCCCUUGCAGAGGUAUAGAGAUAUAUCCGAGGUUAUCAAGGAGACAGGUGGUGCAUGGUUGUCGUCAGCUCGUGUCGUGAGAUGUUGGGUUAAGUCCCGCAACGAGCGCAACCCUUGUGAUAUGUUACUAACAUUGAGUUGAGGACUCAUAUCAGACUGCCGGUGAUAAACCGGAGGAAGGUGGGGAUGACGUCAAAUCAUCAUGCCCCUUAUGGCCUGGGCUACACACGUACUACAAUGGCGUCUACAAAGAGCGGCAAGCCUGUGAAGGCAAGCGAAUCUCAUAAAGGACGUCUCAGUUCGGAUUGAAGUCUGCAACCCGACUUCAUGAAGCUGGAAUCGCUAGUAAUCGCGAAUCAGCAUGUCGCGGUGAAUACGUUCUCGGGCCUUGCACUCACCGCCCGUCAA
RNAcentral lists this ribosomal RNA (1401 nucleotides) under uncultured bacterium. RNAcentral describes it as "partial 16S ribosomal RNA". It matches the Rfam family "Bacterial small subunit ribosomal RNA". The record is from RNAcentral.